RNAcentral lists this ribosomal RNA (646 nucleotides) under Faecalibacterium prausnitzii. RNAcentral's name for it is "bacterial SSU rRNA". It matches the Rfam family "Bacterial small subunit ribosomal RNA", at positions 498 to 1152 of the family's 1533-position model. Lineage: Bacteria; Bacillati; Bacillota; Clostridia; Eubacteriales; Oscillospiraceae. The record is from RNAcentral.
CUACUACGUGCCAGCAGCCGCGGUAAAACGUAGGUCACAAGCGUUGUCCGGAAUUACUGGGUGUAAAGGGAGCGCAGGCGGGAGAACAAGUUGGAAGUGAAAUCCAUGGGCUCAACCCAUGAACUGCUUUCAAAACUGUUUUUCUUGAGUAGUGCAGAGGUAGGCGGAAUUCCCGGUGUAGCGGUGGAAUGCGUAGAUAUCGGGAGGAACACCAGUGGCGAAGGCGGCCUACUGGGCACCAACUGACGCUGAGGCUCGAAAGUGUGGGUAGCAAACAGGAUUAGAUACCCUGGUAGUCCACACCGUAAACGAUGAUUACUAGGUGUUGGAGGAUUGACCCCUUCAGUGCCGCAGUUAACACAAUAAGUAAUCCACCUGGGGAGUACGACCGCAAGGUUGAAACUCAAAGGAAUUGACGGGGGCCCGCACAAGCAGUGGAGUAUGUGGUUUAAUUCGACGCAACGCGAAGAACCUUACCAAGUCUUGACAUCCCUUGACGAUGCUGGAAACAGUAUUUCUCUUCGGAGCAAGGAGACAGGUGGUGCAUGGUUGUCGUCAGCUCGUGUCGUGAGAUGUUGGGUUAAGUCCCGCAACGAGCGCAACCCUUAUGGUCAGUUACUACGCAAGAGGACUCUGGCCAGACUGC